UCCACGCACAUCGACCUUUUCUUUAUACCUCCUCUCGCCUCCUCUUCUCUCUCACACACAUAGCGCUCAGAAAUUUCAAGGGUUUUCUAUUGAAUACAAGCCCUGAUGAAAUUAGGGAGGAAAAAGACGAGGUGACGAAGAAAUUCAUUGGUCUGUCAAUCCACUGACAUUAUUGUGUGAUGUUAAUCGUGAAUCCCGACAGGUUCUGAUCGUCUCUCUUCCCUUAGAUCCAAGACAUUUAGUUCAACAUAUAUAUAUAUAUAUAUAUAUAAUUAUAUAAUUAUCAAGUAUGUUUAUGUUUUUAUUAUUUUGUUCAUGGGCAUAUGAUGAAUCUCAUAACAAAUGGGUAAUUUGCAUCUGAAUGUUUCUGUGUUGCUAAAUCACCUUGGAGAACUGAUGCUCUUUUUAUUUGCUCUUUUUAAUUUUUCUUUAUAGAUAAAUGUAUUUUUGUUCCUCUUUUAGCUUCUUUGUUAGAUAGGCAACAAAUAUUUUAGAUACCUCGUGGUGGCUCUUGGAGAGCAUGAAAAAAAAAAAAAAAAAACAAA
Cornus florida is the source of this 545-nucleotide long non-coding RNA. RefSeq lists it as uncharacterized. Lineage: Eukaryota; Viridiplantae; Streptophyta; Magnoliopsida; Cornales; Cornaceae. The record is from RefSeq and is a predicted model, not a curated record. The transcript has 2 exons.